Molecule: long non-coding RNA, 299 nt
Organism: Manacus vitellinus (golden-collared manakin)
Lineage: Eukaryota; Metazoa; Chordata; Aves; Passeriformes; Pipridae
Exons: 3
Source: RefSeq, a predicted model, not a curated record
AUACUCUGUAGAAGGCAACAGACACAGAUUUUUUGGUUAAUAUAUGUCUGAGCAAUCUUUCCUUCAACAAAAUAUAAAACUGUCAGUAAAUUCCUUCUGAUUUCAGAUGAUGCAUUUCAAAAUAAUACCGUAACGGCUCACCAUUUUAAUCAAUUAUUGAGUACGCCUUGGGGAUUUUCCACCAAUUCCACUUGAUGCUGCUCUUAAAAUGUUCUUUGGCCUGUUAAUGAUUAAAGAUUUGGAUUUGAGUCUUUACACUAAAUAUGGCCAGCCUGUCUUCUGUAACAACAUAAUUUUGC